UCCAAAAUUUCUUGGCACUACAGACGUAUC
Molecule: non-coding RNA, 30 nt
Filed under: Mus musculus (house mouse)
Lineage: Eukaryota; Metazoa; Chordata; Mammalia; Rodentia; Muridae
Source: RNAcentral